CCUACGGUGUGCAGCAGUGGGGAAUAUUGGACAAUGGGGGCAACCCUGAUCCAGCGACGCAGCGUGAGUGAAGAAGUAUUUCGGUACGUAAAGCUCUAUCAGCAGGAAAGAAAAUUACAGUACCUGUCUAAUAAUCCCCGGCUAACUACGUGCCAGCAGCCGCGGUAAUACGUAGGGGGCCAGCGUUAUCCGGAUUUACUGGGUGUAAAGGGAGCGUAGACGGCAGGGCAAGUCUGGAGUGAAAGGUCGGGGCCCAACCACGGAACUGCACUGGAAACUGGGAAGCUGGAGUGCAGGAGAGGUAAGCGGAAUUCCUGGUGUAGCGGUGAAAUGCGUAGAUAUCACGAGGAACACCGGUGGCGAAGGCGGCUUACUGGACUGUAACUGACGUUGAGGCUCGAAGGUGUGGGGAGCAAACAGGAUUAGAUACCCUAGUAGUC
RNAcentral lists this ribosomal RNA (440 nucleotides) under uncultured bacterium. RNAcentral's name for it is "partial 16S ribosomal RNA". It matches the Rfam family "Bacterial small subunit ribosomal RNA", at positions 338 to 795 of the family's 1533-position model. The record is from RNAcentral.